RNAcentral lists this ribosomal RNA (152 nucleotides) under Acinetobacter oleivorans. Its description in RNAcentral is "partial 16S ribosomal RNA". It matches the Rfam family "Bacterial small subunit ribosomal RNA", at positions 1 to 153 of the family's 1533-position model. Lineage: Bacteria; Pseudomonadati; Pseudomonadota; Gammaproteobacteria; Moraxellales; Moraxellaceae. The record is from RNAcentral.
AACUGAAGAGUUUGAUCAUGGCUCAGAUUGAACGCUGGCGGCAGGCUUAACACAUGCAAGUCGAGCGGAGUGAUGGUGCUUGCACUAUCACUUAGCGGCGGACGGGUGAGUAAUGCUUAGGAAUCUGCCUAUUAGUGGGGGACAACAUUUCG